AACAUUUAUCAUUACGUAUUAUUACAUCAUUUUUAUUAUUUUUUUCAUUAAUUAUCCUCGUUUAAUAUUACUACUGCAUCCAAACUCAUAUUUACAUACAUACGCAUAUACUGUAUAAUUGGUCAUAUUACCUUUCCCCCUACUUAAGAACGAUUCGACAUAAAAACGGUCGUCUGGAACCAAUUGUGUUCAUUAGUUGGGAACUUAGUGUACAUGCAUCAAAUAUAUAGUCUCGCCCCCCCCGGCUAAUUUUGUUAGCUCAAUGCGGCGCCCGGGCCAACUGCGGCCCACAGUACGAUAGUUUGCGGCCCCCGUCUUAAUAUGAAAGAUUAAUAUUCGUGUGGCCCGCAAGUUUGAUAUGAAUGACACUUGUCGUGUGCUGAGCUGAACGAACCAAUCACGGUGAAGUAUAUGGCUCUCGAGGCUGGGACCUCGGCUGAACGAACCAAUCACGGUGAGGUAUAUGGCUCUCGAGGGCGGGACCUCGGCCGGGCAGUACGUCCAACGCCUCACCGCCUUGACUUGUUCGCUCGCUCAUUCAUUCAGUCCUCCACUCAGCUGGGCAGAGGAGAAGCCAUGAAGCCGCUGACUCCGCUCGGCGCUGCUGCUUCUCCGCCGAUCUUUGCUCAGAAAUGAAGGAGACGCUGUGAUCCAGCCUAUGUCUGUCUGUCGCGAUCUCUUUCAUGGCCGAUGGCGCUCAGAGAGCUGCUGUGUGUUUGUUCAUCUCCCAAACUCCGACCUAUGUAACAGUGCACUUUUAAUUUCUCCUUUUAUGUGUAAUUACACAAAGAUGGCUUUUAUUUUGACACACCUUUACAGUACAUUACUUCAUGGAUGUCUUUGGCGCUUCCUGCCCCCCUCCUCCUAUCCCCUUUGUUUCCGCUUUUCUUCACUCAUAUUUCAUAUUCAUAUUCCUUCUUCCCUGUUUCUGUAACCCUGGGCAGGAAGGUAUGCUUUCUCCAUAUUCCACUUUUCAUAAUCUAUCAUUAAUCUCCUUUACAUACUGUCAUCCGGCCUUUGUACUUUGUACAUAAUUUCAUUUUUUGAACCCCUUUAUCACAAUACAGUGAUAAAAGGGUUGAAAAUGAAAUCAUGUACAAAGUUAUAGUUAAUUAUAAUUAAUUAUAAUUACUUUGGUUGAUUUAUUUUCUUAUUCUUAAGUAUUUCUUUUCAUCUUAUUUUCUGUUAAAAAAUAAAGAUAUUCGAAAACAUUGGAAAGUUUUUUUUUUAUCAGAGCUUUUCUUGUUGAAAUCCGGAUGCGGCCCAGCCUCACCCAGACUCUGCCUCCAGCGGCCCCCAGGCAAAUUGAGUUUGAGACCCAUGAUCUACAGAUAGUUCUAUCUGUAGAUCUUUCUAGAUAGAUCUAUCGAUAGACCUAUAGAUAGAUCGUUCUAGAUAGAUAGAUCUAUCUGUAGACCUAGAUAGACAGAGAGAUAGAACUAUCUAGAUCGAUCUACAGAUAGAUCGAUCUAGAUAGAUGCAUGAUAUUGUAUCGGUAGUGAUGACAAUACAAGCUGGACAUGAAGAAAUAGCAAGGAAGCCAUUUGUUUUUAGACAAAACAGAUUGUGAAAGUACAGGUACUACCCAAAAAAUUUGAAUAUCAAGUAAAAGUUGUUUUAUUUUGGCAAUUUAACAUAAAAGAUGAAACCAACUAAUUUUAUUGAGCCGUUACAUGCAAAUUGACAUUUCUCAAGCAGUUCCUUGUUGUAACUUUGCUGAUUAAGAUUUUCAUCUUCUUAAAACCACAAACCCACAAACUCUGAAAAUUAGAAUACUGUGAAAAGCUUCAGUUUUGUAGGUUCAAAGAGUCAAAUUCUAAUCAGGCAAGUAAUCUAAAACACCUGCAAAAGGGUCUUGAGCCUUUCAAAAGUCUGUCUUAGGUUGGCUCCGAAGAGUUCAGACAUGGGGAAGACUGCUGUUCUGACAGUUGUGCAGAAAACUCUCAUUGACUCUCAAGUCAAUGAGAAUUGAGAGUUGAGAGUAGACAGUCAAGUGGAAGGAAGAAGUGUAGAAGAAAACGGUGUACAAGCAGGAGAGAUGACUGCAGGCUGGAGAGGGUGGUCAGGAAAGGGCCAUUCAAAAGUGGGGGAACUUCAUAAGGAGUGAACCGAUGCUGGAGUUGUUGCUUCAAGAGAAACAACACCCAGGCGGAUGCUGGACAUGGGCUUCAAAUGUCGAAUUCCUGUUGUCUAAACUCUCCUCAAUAGUAAUCAACGCCAGAGGCACCUUCCCUGGGCAAGAGAAAAGAAGGACUGGUCUGUUGCCCAGUGGGUAAAAGUCCUCUUUUCUGAUUAGAGCAAGUUGUGCACCUCAUUUGGCAACAAAGGUCCCAGAGUCUGGAGGAAGACUGGAGAAGAGCACGAUAGAAGAUGCAUGAAGUCCAGUGUUAGGUUUCCCCAGUCUGUGAUGACUUGGUCAUCCAUGUCAGCUGCUGGUGUUGGUAAUCUGUGCUUCAUGAAGUCAAACAUAACCACAGCCGUCUACCAGGACAUUUUAGAGCACUUCAUGCUUGCUUCAGUAGAACAGCUUUAUGGAGAUGCAGACUUCAUCUUCCAGCAGUGGUAAAAGUACAAAGUCCUGGUUCAACGACCAUGGGUUAACAUGUUUGAUUGGCCUGCAAACUCACCUGACUUGAACCCCAUAGAAAAUCUGUGGGUGAUUGUCAAGAGAAAACUGUACGGGAAGAGACCAAACAAUAAAGAACAGCUAAAGCCACAAUUGAAGCAUGCUGGUCUUCCAUAAUCCCCGAGAUAUGCCACAAACUGAUAGCAUCCAUGCCACGCCGGAUGAAGGCAGUUAUUCGGGCAAAAGGGGCCUCAACCAAGUACUAAAUACAGGUGCAAGAGUUUAGCUUUGGAGGCCUCACAUUUUUGUAUUUAAAACCCUUUUUUACAUUGACUUUAUGUAAUAUUCUAAUUUUGUGAGUUUUGGAUUUUGAGUUUUUUUAAGCUGCAAGACCUGAUCAGCAAAAUCCAUAGAAAUAAAAACUUGAAAUAUAUUGAUUUGCAUAUUAUUUGAUUAUAUAAUAUGUCAAAUUCACCUUUUAAGUUGAACUGCAGAAAUACAACAACCUUUUCAAGAUAUUCUAAUUUUCUGAGUAGUACCUGUAAGUCCCAGUCACAUGUUAGACAACCCUGACGGGGAUUUGAACCACGAUCCCCUGCACCGUAGCCUACGAUGCUACCAACUGAGAAAGCCAGCUGGCGGACAUGCAUGAUAUUGUAUCGGUAGUGAUGACAAUACGUGCAGGACCUGGAGAAAGCAGGGAAAGCCAUUUGUUUUUAGACAAAACAGAUUGUGAAAGUGUGAAAGCAAGUCCUAGUCACAUGUUAGGCGACCCUGACCAGGAUUUGAACUGAGAAAGCCAGCUGGCGAACAAGCAUGAUAUUGUAUCGGUAGUGAUGACAACGUGCUAGACCUGGAGAAAUAGCAAGGAAGCCAUUUGUUUUUAGACAAAACAGAUUGUGAAAGUGUAAAAGCAAGUCCCAGUCACACGUGAGUAGUGUACUAUUGUCGUCAUCACUACCGAUACAAUAUCACAAACCUUCGCCCGCUGGCUAACUCACUUGGUAGCACCGAGGGUUACGGUGCAGGGGACCGGGGUUCAAAUCCCGGUCAGGGCCGUCUAACAUGUGAUAGGGAGUUGCUUUCCCAGUUGGCGAUCGAUGUGGCACAAUAUAUGUAGGGACAUCCCUCAACGUUACUUAUGGUAACACACGAAGACGACGAAAGGACCCGCCUCCAGGAUGAUCCAGGGAAAGUUUAAUGAAGUGCCUCAGAGAUCUGUCCAGCUGGGUGAAGUCAACAUAAAA
Molecule: long non-coding RNA, 3813 nt
Organism: Dunckerocampus dactyliophorus (ringed pipefish)
Lineage: Eukaryota; Metazoa; Chordata; Actinopteri; Syngnathiformes; Syngnathidae
Exons: 2
Source: RefSeq, a predicted model, not a curated record